CUAAACUCAAAGCAUUGUCCCGUCUCUUCAUCGUCUUCCUCACCCCCAUAUUCUCCUCCAUCUGAUACACCAGCCACCGCCUUAGGAAAGUACAAAGGACAUAGCCGCCGCCAUGGGUAAGUAGGAGGUGUCAACAGCCUUGGAAAUCAAGUUUCAGAUUGGUGAUUCCCCAAAGCUAUGAAGCUAGAGCUGGAACCCUAGAAUCAGGAGCUGGAACUCUAGAAAUCUGGAGGUGGCAAGUCUAGUACCUAUAUGGUUCCUUGAGUUGCUAGAUACAUAGAUAAACAAGGGAGAGAGAGAAAAAGAGGGUUUUGGUAUCUUAGAAGUGGAGGAGUAAAAAGUCAGGAACUUGUUUUCAUCCGGAUACUUAACGUGAAAAUCAAUCGAGGUGACAAAUAAAUAUGUUUGAAGUUAUUUUACUGCAAGGGUGUUUUUAAUAAUGUAAUAUACAUGUGUGUUAUUGUUAAUCAUGCUUGGAUUCCUAGACAAGAACUUGGAAUAUAGUUGACCUUUUGUUGUAAAUGUUGGUGUAAACCCCUCUUGUAAUAAAGGUUGUGUUUCAAUUU
This is a long non-coding RNA of Rosa chinensis, 566 nucleotides long. RefSeq lists it as uncharacterized. The transcript has 4 exons. The record is from RefSeq and is a predicted model, not a curated record. Lineage: Eukaryota; Viridiplantae; Streptophyta; Magnoliopsida; Rosales; Rosaceae.